Molecule: ribosomal RNA, 253 nt
Filed under: uncultured bacterium
Lineage: Bacteria
Description: partial 16S ribosomal RNA
Rfam family: Bacterial small subunit ribosomal RNA
Source: RNAcentral
UACAGAGGUCUCGAGCGUUAGGCGGAAUCACUGGGCUUAAAGCGUGUGUAGGCGGAUCGUUAAGUGCCUUGUGAAAUCCCACGGCUCAACCGUGGAACUGCUUGGCAUACUGGCGGUCUUGAGCAACCUAGGGGCGAGCGGAACAAAUGGUGGAGCGGUGAAAUGCGUAGAUAUCAUUUGGAACGCCAAUGGUGAAAACAGGUAGCUGGGGCUGUGCUGACGCUGAGACACGAAAGCCAGGGGAGCGAACGGG